Thermofilum pendens Hrk 5 is the source of this 317-nucleotide non-coding RNA. It matches the Rfam family "Archaeal signal recognition particle RNA". NCBI's taxonomy places the organism in Archaea, Thermoproteati, Thermoproteota, Thermoprotei, Thermofilales, Thermofilaceae. The record is from Rfam.
CGGCGGGAAAGCCCCGGGGGGCUAGCCCUCCCCUGUAACCACAAACGGGCUUAGGGUGGGGGGCGUCAACCUCCGGGGGCGCCCGGCCUUCCCUAUGGGUGCCCGGGUCGCCAGAUGAUGCCCGUGCCCACGGGACGCCUCGUCCGUGCACGGCUCCUCGUAGGAGGAGGCCGAGCACGGUAGAGGCCGAACCGGGUUAGGCCCGGGAGGGAGCGGCCCUAAGGCCUCCGAGGCGUGUUCGUGGAUUCGCGGGCGGAUGUAGCGGCCCGGGAGAGCCCAUGGGGUGCGGGCCGGGCCACCCUGGAGGGAUGCCGCCG